RNAcentral lists this ribosomal RNA (801 nucleotides) under uncultured bacterium. RNAcentral's name for it is "bacterial SSU rRNA". It matches the Rfam family "Bacterial small subunit ribosomal RNA", at positions 8 to 796 of the family's 1533-position model. The record is from RNAcentral.
AGAGUUUGAUCAUGGCUCAGGACGAACGCUGGCGGCGCGCUUAACACAUGCAAGUCGAGCGAGAACCGGUCCUUCGGGACCGGGGAAAGCGGCGAACGGGUGAGUAACACGUGGGUAAUCAACCCCUGACACUGGGAUAGCCCGGGGAAACCCGGAUUAAUACCGGAUGGCCCAACAGCUCUUCGGGGCGGUUGGAAAAGGUAGCUUCGGCCUCCGGUCAGGGACGAGCCCGCGGCGGAUUAGCUUGUUGGUGAGGUAACGGCUCACCAAGGCAACGAUCCGUAGCUGGUCUGAGAGGACGAUCAGCCACGCUGGGACUGAGACACGGCCCAGACUCCUACGGGAGGCAGCAGUGGGGAAUCUUGCACAAUGGGCGAAAGCCUGAUGCAGCGACGCCGCGUGAGGGAAGAAGGCUUUCGGGUUGUAAACCUCUUUCAGGAGGGACGAAGCUCCUCGGGUUAAUAGCCCAGAGGGUGACGGUACCUCCAGAAGAAGCCCCGGCUAACUACGUGCCAGCAGCCGCGGUAAUACGUAGGGGGCAAGCGUUGUCCGGAUUUAUUGGGCGUAAAGAGCGUGUAGGCGGCUAGGUAGGUCCGUUGUGAAAACUCGAGGCUCAACCUCGAGACGCCGAUGGAAACCAUCUAGCUAGAGUCCGGAAGAGGAGAGUGGAAUUCCUGGUGUAGCGGUGAAAUGCGCAGAUAUCAGGAAGAACACCCGUGGCUAAGGCGGCUCUCUAGUACGGUACUGACGCUGAGACGCGAAAGCGUGGGGAGCGAACAGGAUUAGAUACCCUAGUAGUCC